Molecule: long non-coding RNA, 443 nt
Filed under: Mus musculus (house mouse)
Lineage: Eukaryota; Metazoa; Chordata; Mammalia; Rodentia; Muridae
Description: zinc finger E-box binding homeobox 2, opposite strand
Rfam family: ZEB2 antisense RNA 1 conserved region 2 (bases 1-61)
Source: RNAcentral
CUCAACAAAACUUUUCCUAGACUAUGUAGCAAAAAACACCUUUGGUUACCUGAAUGGACAGUUUUGGCCAGAAAUGGUGAGAAGAAAAAGCAUGAAGAAGCCGCGAAGUGUGGGGGAGAAAAAGGUGGAGGCGAAGAAACAGCUCCCGGAGCAAACUGAACAAAACCUCGCCAAGAGUGUCUGGAGGCAGGACCGUUAUUCCUGCCGAGCAGGGGAGAGAAGAGAGACCCUGAAACACGCGCCACCUAUCUUUGUGGGGAGGGAUAAUUGAAGCGCCCUGAGCAUGCCAGAGCUAGGGGAGGGAAAUGCUACUUGUACACUGCAUCUUAGGAUCUCAGUGUGCAGUGUAUGUGUGUAUGUGUGUGUGUGUGUGGGGGGGAGAUUUUCUGGAUUGGAUCCCUAUAUUAAAAGUUUGGCAUUUUAAUAAAGGGUCUCUAGGUUAA